Molecule: ribosomal RNA, 85 nt
Filed under: Cellvibrionales bacterium TMED122
Lineage: Bacteria; Pseudomonadati; Pseudomonadota; Gammaproteobacteria; Cellvibrionales
Source: RNAcentral
CCUGGUAAUUAUUGCGAAGGGGCCACACCCGAUCCCAUCCCGAACUCGGAAGUUAAGUCCUUCAGCGCCGAUGGUACUUUGUCUU